AUGACCACUCCCACUCGGACUCACCACGACCUGACGAGACGACUGUCGCGCCCUGCUUCGAGCACGCCACCCCCCCUGCUUUUCAUUUCAGUUUUCGGCGCAGAGCGGUUCGCUCACGCCCCACGCGCCCAAGCCCAACCCACCGCCGUCCUCCCUCACAAUCCCCCCGUCUCCCAACCCAAAACCCUCGUUUCAUCCGCGGCGAUUCCCCAUCUCCUCUGCGUGCCGCCGGGGAGCGCUCGAUUCCGGCCGUCGUUGGGCCUGCUUGAUCUUCCGCAUAGCACAUAUGUGAGCCAGUUAGCUGGUGCUUGCAUCACGAAAUGA
This 324-nucleotide ribosomal RNA is filed under the name Triticum aestivum (bread wheat). RNAcentral's name for it is "partial small subunit ribosomal RNA". Lineage: Eukaryota; Viridiplantae; Streptophyta; Magnoliopsida; Poales; Poaceae. The record is from RNAcentral.